Molecule: long non-coding RNA, 1314 nt
Filed under: Olea europaea (common olive)
Lineage: Eukaryota; Viridiplantae; Streptophyta; Magnoliopsida; Lamiales; Oleaceae
Description: long non-coding RNA (OEUR_LNC010430)
Source: RNAcentral
GGAAAUUCGUAUCCAUAGAGCCACAAUUUCUCUCUUUAUUCUUAGAGAUGUUGAAAUAUGGAAGACGCAUACAGAUUUUCAGGAAAUGAAUAUGAUGAGAGAUAAAAAUCAACCAUCAUUUAAUAAACGCCCAUUCAGGUUACAUAUUUACCUUAUACAAAUCAAUUAUUGCCCACUUUCAUACAAAUUUUUUUUUUUAAUUAUGACCUGAAUUAUAGAAAGUUUCUCAAACUUUGAUAUUUCUGAAAAUAUAAUAUUAAAGAAUGGUAAAUUGGUAAACUCAAGAAGCAAAUAUGCCCACUAGUUAUAAGCUCACAAAUGAUUUCAAGAGAGAACAAAUCUGCAACGAAACAUAAAUUUCAAGAUCAACAAAUACAUAGUUGUUGAUGCAGUAAUAAAUGGGUGCAGCCAUAACAUAAAAUGUGUCUUCUGAUUUAGUUUCUAAUGCAAUAUUGUUUUGUUGGAUCAGGAAAAUAUGUCAUUGGUAUAAAUUAUAGCCUAUUUCUACAGUCAUCCGGACGCGGCAAUCGGUAAAGCUAGUCUGUAAAAGAUUUCUUUAUCUACAACACCAAACUAUGCAGAAAAACUGCACAUAUUGCAGCUGAUACCCACCAAACAUAUCCAUCAAAAAAUCAACUUAGAUCACUUAAAGGCUUCAACAGCUACAUUCAGCUUUUAUCUCGGUAGAAAGUUCACUAUCAAAUCAAUAUCCAACCAGAUCUUUUUCCCGGAUCAGAAUGUCUUCCAGCGACAUUACUAAAACUCCAGCAGUCAACAAUGAACUAGUUUCUUCAGUAUUUAUCAUCAAUCAUAACUUCGAGACUACCUAAAAGUUCAUGGAACGCACUCUCCUCAGAAUCCUUGGAGGUCUCUUCCCCUCUACCACUGGAAUCAAGUUCUCCAUGAGCUGCACGUAAAAUAGAAACAAAAGAAAUGGGAAAAGAAUGUUAAAGAUGCAGUAAAGAAUUCAAUAUAUGUUGGUUGAAAUGAAUAGAAGUAGAAUCGACUUCCAUGAUAGAAUUGCAUAUGUGAGUACCCAAGUAUGGGGCUUCAGGAGACACUGACAUCUCAUCCGUCAAGAUAAAAUUCAAAAAUCAGGUGCCAAUCUUAAAGGCCGGAUAAUUAUAUUUCACAUUCUAGGAGAUUUUUUAUUUCUAAGAGUCACAAUUCAGAUCCAUUGUUACAAAGGAUUGUGAGAUUACAGAAAUGAUACAGUGCACGACCUUAGAAACAAUCAGCCUUUUGUACGGGAAAUGUGUUGAUGCAAAUCUACAUAAGCUCAAUAUUUCAAAGUAUCUUGAAACAGGAUAAGCU